This 527-nucleotide ribosomal RNA is filed under the name Luidia maculata. Its description in RNAcentral is "partial 16S ribosomal RNA". It matches the Rfam family "Bacterial large subunit ribosomal RNA", at positions 1856 to 2566 of the family's 2925-position model. Lineage: Eukaryota; Metazoa; Echinodermata; Asteroidea; Paxillosida; Luidiidae. The record is from RNAcentral.
UGCCUGCCCAGUGACGUAGAAGUUUAACGGCCGCGGUAUCUUGACCGUGCAAAGGUAGCAUAAUCAUUUGCCUUUUAAAUGGAGGCUGGAAUGAAUGGCAAGACGGAAAUUUGGCUGUCUCUUUCUUAAUAACCCUGAAUUUUAUAUUCUAGUGAAGAAGCUAGGAUAAGAUGGUGGGACGAGAAGACCCUGUUGAGCUUAAACAAUAAAAGUAGUGAUAGUUUUUUUAUUACUAGCUAAUUAAGGUUAAAGAAGUAACUUGCCUAUAAAUUUAUUUUAGUAGAAAAGUGUUGUAUUUGUGUUGUUUUGGUUGGGGCAACCGCGGAGAAUAAGAAACCUCCGCUUUAAAAAGUAAAAAAAGCACAGUUUUACUUAGAAAAUUUCUGUGAAGUGACCCACUUAAAUGGUGAUCAAAGGAAAAAGUUACCACAGGGAUAACAGCGUAAUUUUUUUGGAGAGUUCAUAUUGAUAAAAAAGUUUGCGACCUCGAUGUUGGAUCGAGACUUCCAGGGGGUGCAGCAGCUUCC